This 792-nucleotide ribosomal RNA is filed under the name Erysiphe aquilegiae. RNAcentral describes it as "eukaryotic LSU rRNA". It matches the Rfam family "Eukaryotic large subunit ribosomal RNA", at positions 1 to 806 of the family's 3401-position model. RNAcentral also lists the same sequence under 7 other names. Lineage: Eukaryota; Fungi; Ascomycota; Leotiomycetes; Helotiales; Erysiphaceae. The record is from RNAcentral.
UUGACCUCGAAUCAGGUAGGAAUACCCGCUGAACUUAAGCAUAUCAAUAAGCGGAGGAAAAGAAACCAACCGGGAUUACCUCAGUAACGGCGAGUGAAGCGGUAACAGCUCAAAUUUGAAAUCUGGCUCCUUCGGAGUCCGAGUUGUAAUUUGUAGAAGAUGCUUUGGGUUGUGGGCUCGGCCUAAGUUCCUUGGAACAGGACGUCAUAGAGGGUGAGAAUCCCGUAUGUGGCCAUGGCCCGCGCCUAUGUAAAGCUCUUUCGACGAGUCGAGUUGUUUGGGAAUGCAGCUCAAAAUGGGUGGUAAAUUUCAUCUAAAGCUAAAUAUGGGCCAGAGACCGAUAGCGCACAAGUAGAGUGAUCGAAAGAUGAAAAGCACUUUGGAAAGAGAGUUAAACAGUACGUGAAAUUGUUGAAAGGGAAGCGCUUGCAACCAGACUUGGGCGCUGCCGAUCACCCCGAGUUCUCUCGGGUGCACUCGACAGCGCACAGGCCAGCAUCGGUUCGGGUGGCUGGAUAAAGGCCGUAGGAAUGUAGCUCUCUUCGGGGAGUGUUAUAGCCCACGGUGCCAUGCAGCCCAGCCGGACCGAGGACCGCGCCUUCGGGCUAGGAUGCUGGCGUAAUGGUUGUAAGCGACCCGUCUUGAAACACGGACCAAGGAGUCUAACAUCUAUGCGAGUGUUUGGGCGUUAAACCCAUACGCGGAAUGAAAGUGAACGUAGGUGAGAACCCCUUUGGGGCGCAUCAUCGACCGAUCCUGAUGUCUUCGGAUGGAUUUGAGUAAGAGCAUAGC